AACGAACGCUGGCGGCAGGCUUAACACAUGCAAGUCGAACGAGAUCUUCGGAUCUAGUGGCAGACGGGUGAGGAACACGUGGGAACAUCCCUUUCAGUUCGGAAUAACGUUGGGAAACUAACGCUAAUACCGGAUACGUCCUUCGGGAGAAAGAUUUAUCGCUGAAAGAUUGGCCCGCGUGUGAUUAGCUAGUUGGUGAGGUAAUGGCUAACCAAGGCUACGAUCAGUAGCGGAUCUGAGAGGAUGAUCAGCCGCAUUGGGACUGAGACACGGCCCAAACUCCUACGGGAGGCAGCAGUGGGGAAUAUUGGACAAUGGGCGCAAGCCUGAUCCAGCCAUGCCGCGUGAGUGAUGAAGGCUUUCGGGUCGUAAAGCUCUUUUAUCCGGGAAGAUACUGACUGUACCGGAAGAAUAAGCCCCGGCAAACUUCGUGCCAGCCGCCGCAGUAA
This 449-nucleotide ribosomal RNA is filed under the name uncultured bacterium. RNAcentral describes it as "partial 16S ribosomal RNA". It matches the Rfam family "Bacterial small subunit ribosomal RNA", at positions 29 to 523 of the family's 1533-position model. The record is from RNAcentral.